Long non-coding RNA from Halichondria panicea, 1133 nucleotides. RefSeq lists it as uncharacterized. NCBI's taxonomy places the organism in Eukaryota, Metazoa, Porifera, Demospongiae, Suberitida, Halichondriidae. The record is from RefSeq and is a predicted model, not a curated record. The transcript has 5 exons.
UAUGUUGAAUAGAAAGUUUGUGCGGACAGAUGAUGCUAUGAAAGAUUCUGAAGAGACUGCAACAGCCUUCAAUAUUACAGGAAACAGCAAGCCUAUCUACUAUACUCCUACUGCUAUACUCAAGUCAAGUCUCUAUAUCACUGGAAGGAUUUCAAUACAAACAACGACCUCCUCCUUAAGGACGAGGACAGUGGACGGACAGCGACUGAUACUGGCACUCCUCACCUGGGUUGUACUGCAAGGGUGGAGUUAUAUCCAGCAUUAUAAUAAUAGGCAUCAUUAUUAUUACUGCAUGAGCAUUACAUUACAUGCUGUGUCCUAACCUCUGCCCUAACAAUGUUAUUAUCACAAUACAUGUUCUGGGAGACCAAUGGCAGAAUUUGGAGAAUACUAGAGGAAACAACACUAUACAGAGUAUCUACGGCUACUAUACUGAAUUAAGUCAAGUCUGUAUGGAGCAUCUCUUCACCGGCAAUGACAUCACUGGCAUUGGUGGAAUACAAUGUCCUCCUCCUUAAGAAAAACUACUACACUCAACUACAUCUCAUCAGUCAUAAUUCAAUCAUCAACUCAUUUUAUUUAUUGGGGGCCCCUUCAUAUUUUCAUUUCUUUUUUCGUUUUCGUUGUUAUAAAUCAUGAAAGAAGAAAAAUGAUCAGGAGGAGUGGUCAGGCCACACCUACAAUGUACAUGUGACCACGCCUCUAAUGCAAGGCCACACCCACCUUUCCACACCUUCAUGUGAGCUGUGGGUGUGCCGAGUACUACAUACACACAUGAUGCUUUGUCCCUGUAUAGAUAGUACGUAUAACUAUAAUUAUACUCGAUUUCUAACCACCUGGAUUUAACAUAACCCCUUCAAACCAACUGGAAACUAACAGAACCUUCUAAUCAACUGGACUGGGAUAGCCUCAAUACAUAUCCCAGAUGGUCCCAUGGGCGGAUGGGCGGGGGGCCAGCGAUGCAGUGCCACAUACUCGCGACGGUGCUGGCUGUCACACUGCAUGGAGGGAGGACUAUUAUCUCUCUAUAGUGUGCAAGAGCACUGCAAACUGAACACACUUUUGUAAUUUCAAUUUCUCAAUGAUUUGCUAUAAUUAAUGUGGUUUUGAAAAUUUAAUAAGAAAUUUGAACA